Molecule: long non-coding RNA, 1206 nt
Organism: Lathyrus oleraceus (garden pea)
Lineage: Eukaryota; Viridiplantae; Streptophyta; Magnoliopsida; Fabales; Fabaceae
Exons: 2
Source: RefSeq, a predicted model, not a curated record
AUGUGCAAACUUCAACAGGUACAGGAGGAAUGGCUGCAAUUGAUUUUCCAAAGAAUUCUUCAUAAAGAGAUAUUUGGAGCUUGUUCAGUUCGAAAGCCUUGUCAUCCGAUUGCAAGAGUCUCUGACUGAACUGCGUGAGAUGAAUGGAUGCAGUAACAAGUCUGAUGCAGAAGGUGUUAAAUCCGGUUCCUUGUGAAGGUAUUUCAGGUUUUUUUGCACUAAAGCUUUUGACCGAAUUCGACACGGUAUUGACCUCAAUUUUUUUGAUUAUUUUACAACCCUUCUUGUCCCAUUGUUCGUCUUCAUGUACUUAUCUCCUGUUGUAACCAUAACUUGGACUUUCAAAUGCUUUCCAAACUCUUUACACACUUGAGAUGUUUGACAAGCCAACUCACGGGAACAAGAUAACAAUUUGAAUAAUAUUAUCAUCCUGAUUAAUUUUUCAAUAUAGGAAUGCAAAAUGCAGCUGUUAUUUAUGCAGGAUUAUGGAUGAUGGAACUGCAAAAAAGGGAUUGCAUCUGUUGCCUCUUCAAGUGUCAGGCUUUUAGUGUUUCCUGCACCUAGAUAUUCCACUGUAACCGUUGAUUCUUCAGAUCAAUGGGACUCGGGUGUAUUGAGCUCUGAAACAGAAGCAGCGUGACAAUCAUUGGAAAGAUUUCGAGCAGAAGGGUAUGCUAGAAGUUUCAAGCUGUUGCAUGCAGCAAGUGCGGCGUUGACUUGUUCAGUCGUCUUAAUAUCUUUUGUAUGCCUUCUUCUGCACGACACCAACAUCCUGCAAUGCCGGCUCUAAUACUUCAAAUAGUAAAUCAAAAUCCUUCACAUCUAAUCCAGGCAACAACGAAAUUGCGAAAUCAUGAAGCCGAGCCUUGAGAACUGGUUGAGGCACGUCAUUUGAUGCACUGUCAAUCUGCAUAGAUCUUUCUGAACCGUCUACCUUUGAGGAUAUCUCUCGUGCCUUCAAAUUUCUGUUGCAACCUUGCUUUGUGUAAUUAGAAACUAUAAACUAGUUCAUGUUAUUUUAUGAAUAUCAACUUCUUCUUUUACUUUAAUACGUAAAUGUUUCUCUAAAACUUUGAAACUCUCAGCUGUGUCCGAAGGAUAGUUGCGAAACGAAGGGUAGAUAGAAAAGAACUCCUUUGUAAAAUGUUUUAUACUUGUACCAACAAAAUUCUGUUUUAGAAUUGAGAAAAAGCCAUAUGUUUGCAA